This 159-nucleotide ribosomal RNA is filed under the name Cytospora sp. XJ-ALAER-1. Its description in RNAcentral is "5.8S ribosomal RNA". It matches the Rfam family "5.8S ribosomal RNA". Rfam says of the family: 5.8S ribosomal RNA (5.8S rRNA) is a component of the large subunit of the eukaryotic ribosome. It is transcribed by RNA polymerase I as part of the 45S precursor that also contains 18S and 28S rRNA. Lineage: Eukaryota; Fungi; Ascomycota; Sordariomycetes; Diaporthales; Cytosporaceae. The record is from RNAcentral.
AAAUUAAAACUUUCAACAACGGAUCUCUUGGUUCUGGCAUCGAUGAAGAACGCAGCGAAAUGCGAUAAGUAAUGUGAAUUGCAGAAUUCAGUGAAUCAUCGAAUCUUUGAACGCACAUUGCGCCCUCUGGUAUUCCAGAGGGCAUGCCUGUUCGAGCGU